UGGUUAAUGAGGUAAGAACUGCUGUGUGUGGUCAGGAUCCAGAUGGAGGUGGACUCUCUGGAGAGAGAAGAAGAUCUGAUCUCCACCAACGAGAACUUCAUCCUGAAGAGGCUGAAAACUGUAGAGAGACCUGCAGGAGACAUUAUCAAUGACACUCGGGACGGUUUUGUUCCUGACCCGUUUGUGAUGGGUGUUGGCGUUUCCCAGAACUCUCUGCUGGGAGAGCGAGCACUAAUCCGUCCGUCGGUAGAAACAAACCAACGCCGUGGGAGGAAGGAGUUCCAUGACAGAAGGAGCAGUGCUCACGUUUUCAGAUCUCAGGAGACACUGUCUGAUGACCAGAGCAGCAGCUCAGACCUGUCGUCUCAUGAAGUGGAGGAGCUGCUGAGAAGCUUUGCCCGAUGCCAAGCGAACAACAGAUUAAAUCUGAGCAGGAAUGAAGAGAAGAGCAACUUUUACAGAACUAGGAGCCAAACCACUGAGACGUGUCCCAGUAAGAACACACAGGACAUUCCUGGGGGUCCCCACCGCUGGACAGAAAGAUCCAACAGAGAGAAUGAGAAGACCAUAAGGAGGAGGAGAUGUAACCCUGAGCGUUCACCACACCUCUGCUACACACCGGUCCAUCAUACUCCUCUCUGCGUCCACCAGGAGGCGCUCUACAGCAGCAACUCACCCUUCUACCAAUCACAGAACAGAUACAGCCAGGUAACAUCUCCAUACAGAGGCUCCACCCACUAUGACCGAGUGCCAUCCCCCCUGUUAGCAGACGACGUUCCUUUCACCAUUCUCCACUCCAUCGACACCAGUGAGCCCAUCACUGCCGUGUUCAUGGGCUUCCACACCACGCAGGACGACGGCAGGCCUGACCGGGAGGCGGACGGCUCCAUCAGAGCGGAGCUGGUUGUCAUUGGCGACGAACGCGAAGGCUGUCCUUUCACAGACAAAGGAAAAGUUGUAGCAGAGAGUCUGAUGGAGAAGCAGACAGGAGCAGAUCGCAGAAAGAAACACAAGCAGUGCUGCUGUGUGUCCUGAAUCCUCCCCUCAGCAAACUUCUCCUCAUCUCCUCCUCAUGUCCUCCACAGAUUCUAUUAGAGAGGAGUCAAAGCAAUCAGUAUUUAAAACUAAGAGUACCUGCAUCUGGUUUGGCUACAGUGAUAUACAUCCCUUUAGCUUCAUUCAGAGGGUCAAAGUUGAAAAAGUUCUGUUUCCUCCCUCGUUUGUUAUUCCACAUUUUGUAAAAAGUCAGCUCCAAACGGGCGAGUUGGAUUUUUGCCCCAAUAUGACAUUAUAAGGUGGAAACUCCUCCUCCUGACAAUCCUGGCUCCUCCUAACCUAUAUAAGAAUGUGAGCUCUUCCCUCUCAAACUACCUCACAGGUGAAACAAACAUAGUGAAGGCAGGUUGAUAUUACAGUUAAUGAGUUAACAUCUUUUUGUUCAGUAUAUAGAUAAACCGAAGAGCACUCACAAUCAGUUUCACUUUUAGUAGCAGUUACACCGCCUUGUAUCGCCUUAUUGGGAUGAUCUGACAUGUUUGUGACCCAGUGCAACGCAGUGGUUGGACAAAGCAAUGGACUAGUGUCUCAAAUGGAAAAUUGCUGUGGUCAGACGAGGUAAAGAGGAGAAGGAAGACUGUUAAUUAUUUACUGCUGCUGUGAUAAACCUACACAAUGAAGCAGCGUGUGUGUUUAUGUCCACUCCUGCAUAUGCAUGAAUGCCCAAAAAAACCGCCUGUUUUUAGGAGCGCUCUGAAAGUGACUUUUCAGAGGCUAAAAGUCCAGAAAAUAGGCGAGUUUGGGAAAAUAAUUCCCAAAUACUAUGUUGUUGGGGUUCUUAGAACAAAUGGAGAUGGGUGAAAAAGAGCAUAAUAGGACACAUGAUGCAAGAUGCAAGAACACGUCCUAAAUAGUGCGUCCACAAAAUAUUUAACAAUAUUAUGUCCAUCCCCUUCUUGCAUUUUACUGUUGAUGGUGUUAAUAACAUUCAAUGUUAAAACUGGUGAAAUGUGCCCUUUAGGGAUAGAAGGAAAAGAUCAUUUAAAAAAGUCGAGUUACGAUAGGACAAGUUUGGAUGAGAUUAGUUAAAAAAGGAUGAAUCAGGAUAAGUUAAGAAAUUAUCAAACGAUUUAAGAGAAUGUUUUAUAUGUGGUUUUUAAACAUUUCCAUUUCAGUGUGAACUGUUGCCGAGGGUGGGAGUUAAAUGGCGUCUCAACUUACCUUCACAACAUAGCUGCUAGUCACAAAGAGAGCUACGCAAGAUUAAUCACCGUCAUGUAUGACGUAAAAUCCCGUUUUUCAACCUCAAAUAACUUAUUUCAAACAAACUUCACAGAAAAAGUAGCACUUGAACACAAUGUAGGGUGAACUAAUGAUCACAACAGAGUUUAGGUUUGGAAAAAAAUUGUGUGAGUAUUUUAAUUUUACAGUUUGACCCAUAUCCCAUCUUUUAUCAUUGAGAAGGCGGGGAUUAUGGCCUAUACUGCAGCCAGUCAGCAGGAGGAGCUUUAAAAAUAAAAGCUUCACUCUCUGGGGAGCUUGUCCCGUC
Molecule: long non-coding RNA, 2545 nt
Organism: Gouania willdenowi (blunt-snouted clingfish)
Lineage: Eukaryota; Metazoa; Chordata; Actinopteri; Blenniiformes; Gobiesocidae
Source: Ensembl